AUGGCACUGCAACAAUAUGAACUAGUUGCAUUCACAUUUAAACACUUCCCAAACUUGCAGCAAUACAACAUUAUCAGUCCAGACUUCAUGACAAUUCACAGUUACAAAAAAAAUCAAGCUACUAAACCAAAUAUAAAAUCGUGCCAAGUCCUAGCUAAAGGGGGAAAUUGCCUACAAAUCAAAACUAAACCAUUGAAAAGAGAAAAGAAGCAGUGA
Non-coding RNA from Vicia faba (fava bean), 216 nucleotides. NCBI's taxonomy places the organism in Eukaryota, Viridiplantae, Streptophyta, Magnoliopsida, Fabales, Fabaceae. The record is from the annotation of a GenBank genome assembly.